AGAACGAACGCUGGCGGCAUGCCUAACACAUGCAAGUCGAACGAAGUCCUUCGGGGCUUAGUGGCGCACGGGUGCGUAACGCGUGGGAAUCUGCCUUUAGGUUCGGAAUAACAGUUAGAAAUGACUGCUAAUACCGGAUGAAGUCUUCGGACCAAAGAUUUAUCGCCUAGAGAUGAGCCCGCGUAAGAUUAGCUAGUUGGUGGGGUAAAGGCCUACCAAGGCGACGAUCUUUAGCUGGUCUGAGAGGAUGAUCAGCCACACUGGGACUGAGACACGGCCCAGACUCCUACGGGAGGCAGCAGUGGGGAAUAUUGGACAAUGGGCGAAAGCCUGAUCCAGCAAUGCCGCGUGAGUGAUGAAGGCCUUCGGGUCGUAAAGGCUCUUUUACCCGGGAUGAUAAUGACAGUACCGGGAGAAUAAGCUCCGGCUAACUCCGUGCCAGCAGCCGC
This 449-nucleotide ribosomal RNA is filed under the name uncultured bacterium. Its description in RNAcentral is "SSU rRNA". It matches the Rfam family "Bacterial small subunit ribosomal RNA", at positions 26 to 518 of the family's 1533-position model. The record is from RNAcentral.